Molecule: ribosomal RNA, 498 nt
Filed under: Paenibacillus sp. 'ARUP UnID 500'
Lineage: Bacteria; Bacillati; Bacillota; Bacilli; Caryophanales; Paenibacillaceae
Description: bacterial SSU rRNA
Rfam family: Bacterial small subunit ribosomal RNA
Source: RNAcentral
GGACGAACGCUGGCGGCGUGCCUAAUACAUGCAAGUCGAGCGGACYUGAUGAGGAGCUUGCUCCUCUGAGRGUUAGCGGCGGACGGGUGAGUAAUACGUAGGUAACCUGCCCUUAAGACCGGGAUAACUCACGGAAACGUGGGCUAAUACCGGAUAGGCGAUUUCCUCGCAUGAGGGRAUCGGGAAAGGCGGAGCAAUCUGCCACUUAUGGAUGGACCUACGGCGCAUUAGCUAGUUGGUGGGGUAACGGCUCACCAAGGCGACGAUGCGUAGCCGACCUGAGAGGGUGAUCGGCCACACUGGGACUGAGACACGGCCCAGACUCCUACGGGAGGCAGCAGUAGGGAAUCUUCCGCAAUGGACGCAAGUCUGACGGAGCAACGCCGCGUGAGUGAUGAAGGUUUUCGGAUCGUAAAGCUCUGUUGCCAGGGAAGAACGCUAUGGAGAGUAACUGUUCCAUAGGUGACGGUACCUGAGAAGAAAGCCCCGGCUAACUAC